CACACAUGCACAGCGAUCA
RNAcentral lists this non-coding RNA (19 nucleotides) under Mus musculus (house mouse). The record is from RNAcentral. Lineage: Eukaryota; Metazoa; Chordata; Mammalia; Rodentia; Muridae.